GGACAAACUUCUAUCCGUUUUGACCUCAAAUCAGGUAGGACUACCCGCUGAACUUAAGCAUAUCAAUAAGCGGAGGAAAAGAACUAACAAGGAUUCCCCUAGUAACUGCGAGUGAAGCGGGAAAAGCUCAAAUUUGAAAUCUGGCGGUCUCUGGCCGUCCGAGUUGUAAUCUGGAGAAGCGUUUUCCACGUUGGACCGUGUACAAGUCUUCUGGAAUGGAGCGUCGUAGAGGGUGAGAAUCCCGUCUCUGACACGGACUCCCGAUGUUUCUGUGAUACGCUCUCGAAGAGUCGAGUUGUUUGGGAAUGCAGCUCAAAAUGGGUGGUAAAUUCCAUCUAAAGCUAAAUAUAGGNGAGAGACCGAUAGCGAACAAGUACCGUGAGGGAAAGAUGAAAAGCACUUUGGAAAGAGAGUUAAACAGUACGUGAAAUUGUUGAAAGGGAAACGCUUGAAGUCAGUUGCAUCGGCCGAGACUCAACCUUGCAUUGCAUGGCGUACUUCUCGGUUGAUGGGUCAACAUCAAUUUUGAUCGUCGGAAAAAGGUUGGGGGAAUGUGGCAUCCUUCGGGGUGUGUUAUAGCCCCUGGCUAUGCGACGGUUGGGAUUGAGGAAUUCAGCACGCCUUAUGGCCGGGGUUCUACCUACGUUCGUGCUUAGGAUGUUGACAUAAUGGCUUUAAGCGACCCGC
Molecule: ribosomal RNA, 687 nt
Filed under: uncultured Atheliales
Lineage: Eukaryota; Fungi; Basidiomycota; Agaricomycetes; Atheliales
Description: eukaryotic LSU rRNA
Rfam family: Eukaryotic large subunit ribosomal RNA
Source: RNAcentral